Amphiprion ocellaris (clown anemonefish) is the source of this 525-nucleotide long non-coding RNA. Lineage: Eukaryota; Metazoa; Chordata; Actinopteri; Pomacentridae. The record is from Ensembl.
CGAACUUCCUGUUUUUUUUGUCUAAACAACAUUGUGCUCACGCAUCGUCGGAGAAACGCUCUGAACAGCGACGUGUGUGUGUGUAUAUCGAGCUGGAGAGCAUGCUAGCUGAUGGCUAACACUUAAAUUAGCGCCCUUGGAACGGCGGAAUGAGGGAUUUUUCACUUUCGAUGGCCAGCAUGGCGCUCCUCCCACAGUCCUCCCCGUGACCCCAAUGAGGAUUAAGCAGAUAGUGGAUAGAUGGAUGGAUGGAUGGAUGGAUGGAUGGAUGGAUGGCCAGCAUGCUUGCGAACACUUGCAUCUGUUAGAGCAGCUUUUCAACUAUGGAGCACAUUAAAUCAAAAGAGAGAAACAGGCUGACAGAUGAAACUACUCCAGCUCAUGCAAAUUGGAAGCACAAAAACUGACACUAACAUUCAGAAUAUUGUGCAGCAGCAGGGGAGGCCACAGAUAUCUCAUUAGGAAAAAUGUUGCUGAGGCAGGGUCUUUUCAGGACCUUACUUGAAACGUCAUGUGGAAUUGGAG